Molecule: ribosomal RNA, 423 nt
Filed under: uncultured prokaryote
Description: bacterial SSU rRNA
Rfam family: Bacterial small subunit ribosomal RNA
Source: RNAcentral
UGGGGAAUAUUGGACAAUGGGCGCAAGCCUGAUCCAGCCAUGCCGCGUGGGUGAAGAAGGCCUUAGGGUUGUAAAGCCCUUUCGGCGGGGAAGAUGAUGACGGUACCCGCAGAAGAAGCCCCGGCUAACUCCGUGCCAGCAGCCGCGGUAAUACGGAGGGGGCAAGCGUUGUUCGGAAUUACUGGGCGUAAAGGGCGCGUAGGCGGAGCGCCGUGUCAGGGGUGAAAGGCCCGGGCUCAACCUGGAACGGCCUUUGAGACUGGCGGACUAGAGUGCGGGAGGGGAUGGCGGAAUUCCCAGUGUAGAGGUGAAAUUCGUAGAUAUUGGGAAGAACACCGGUGGCGAAGGCGGCCAUCUGGCCCGCAACUGACGCUGAGGCGCGAAAGCGUGGGGAGCAAACAGGAUUAGAUACCCCUGUAGUCC